GUCUAACAAUACUCUGUGGGGUGCCAUUCCAAACUCUAGUAGAGUGACCGCGCUCCAAUAUUUGUUAGCAAAUAAAGUUGACAAGAAGAAAAAUGAAAUCAAGUGAGUACGUAUUCAAGUUACGGGCUACAUGCCUUCCUUUUUGUGACCAUCAAUGGAGACCAGCCAUCUUAUACAUGUUCAAAGGUGGAGAUAAAGAUGAUGGAGAAAGUGCUCAAGCUCUGUA
Prosopis cineraria is the source of this 226-nucleotide long non-coding RNA. RefSeq lists it as uncharacterized. Lineage: Eukaryota; Viridiplantae; Streptophyta; Magnoliopsida; Fabales; Fabaceae. The record is from RefSeq and is a predicted model, not a curated record. The transcript is spliced from 4 exons.